This 443-nucleotide ribosomal RNA is filed under the name uncultured bacterium. RNAcentral describes it as "partial 16S ribosomal RNA". It matches the Rfam family "Bacterial small subunit ribosomal RNA", at positions 338 to 795 of the family's 1533-position model. The record is from RNAcentral.
CCUACGGGGGACAGCAGUGGGGAAUAUUGGGCAAUGGGCGCAAGCCUGACCGAGCAACGCCGCGUGAAGGAAGAAGGCUUUCGGGUUGUAAACUUCUUUUCUCAGGGGCGCAGCAAGUGACGGUACCUGAGGAAUAAGCCACGGCUAACUACGUGCCAGCAGCCCCGGGAAUUCGUAGGUGGGAAGCGUUAGCCGGAUUUACUGGGUGUAAAGGGCGUGUAGGCGGGACUGCAAGUCCGAUGUGAAAACCACGGGCUCAACCUGUGGCCUGCAUUUGAAACUGUAGUUCUUGAGUACUGGAGAGGCAGACGGAAUUCCUAGUGUAGCGGUGAAAUGCGUAGAUAUUAGGAGGAACACCAGUGGCGAAGGCGGUCUGCUGGACAGCAACUGACGCUGAGGCGCGAAAGCGUGGGGAGCAAACAGGAUUAGAUACCCCUGUAGUC